This 1491-nucleotide ribosomal RNA is filed under the name Nostoc punctiforme PCC 73102. RNAcentral's name for it is "16S ribosomal RNA". It matches the Rfam family "Bacterial small subunit ribosomal RNA". Lineage: Bacteria; Bacillati; Cyanobacteriota; Cyanophyceae; Nostocales; Nostocaceae. The record is from RNAcentral.
UCAAAACGGAGAGUUUGAUCCUGGCUCAGGAUGAACGCUGGCGGUAUGCUUAACACAUGCAAGUCGAACGGUGUCUUCGGACACAGUGGCGGACGGGUGAGUAACGCGUGAGAAUCUGGCUCUAGGUCUGGGACAACCACUGGAAACGGUGGCUAAUACCGGAUGUGCCGAGAGGUGAAAGGUUAACUGCCUAGAGAUGAGCUCGCGUCUGAUUAGCUAGUAGGUAGUGUAAUGGACUACCUAGGCGACGAUCAGUAGCUGGUCUGAGAGGACGAUCAGCCACACUGGGACUGAGACACGGCCCAGACUCCUACGGGAGGCAGCAGUGGGGAAUUUUCCGCAAUGGGCGAAAGCCUGACGGAGCAAUACCGCGUGAGGGAGGAAGGCUCUUGGGUCGUAAACCUCUUUUCUCAGGGAAGAACACAAUGACGGUACCUGAGGAAUAAGCAUCGGCUAACUCCGUGCCAGCAGCCGCGGUAAUACGGAGGAUGCAAGCGUUAUCCGGAAUGAUUGGGCGUAAAGCGUCCGCAGGUGGCAAUGUAAGUCUGCUGUUAAAGAGUCUAGCUCAACUAGAUACAAGCAGUGGAAACUACAUAGCUAGAGUACGUUCGGGGCAGAGGGAAUUCCUGGUGUAGCGGUGAAAUGCGUAGAGAUCAGGAAGAACACCGGUGGCGAAGGCGCUCUGCUAGGCCGUAACUGACACUGAGGGACGAAAGCUAGGGGAGCGAAUGGGAUUAGAUACCCCAGUAGUCCUAGCCGUAAACGAUGGAUACUAGGCGUGGCUUGUAUCGACCCGAGCCGUGCCGUAGCUAACGCGUUAAGUAUCCCGCCUGGGGAGUACGCCGGCAACGGUGAAACUCAAAGGAAUUGACGGGGGCCCGCACAAGCGGUGGAGUAUGUGGUUUAAUUCGAUGCAACGCGAAGAACCUUACCAAGGCUUGACAUGUCGCGAAUCCUGGUGAAAGCCGGGAGUGCCUUCGGGAGCGCGAACACAGGUGGUGCAUGGCUGUCGUCAGCUCGUGUCGUGAGAUGUUGGGUUAAGUCCCGCAACGAGCGCAACCCUCGUUUUUAGUUGCCAGCAUUAAGUUGGGCACUCUAGAGAGACUGCCGGUGACAAACCGGAGGAAGGUGGGGAUGACGUCAAGUCAGCAUGCCCCUUACGCCUUGGGCUACACACGUACUACAAUGCUCCGGACAGAGGGCAGCAAGCAUGCGAAUGCAAGCAAAUCCCGUAAACCGGAGCUCAGUUCAGAUCGCAGGCUGCAACUCGCCUGCGUGAAGGAGGAAUCGCUAGUAAUUGCAGGUCAGCAUACUGCAGUGAAUUCGUUCCCGGGCCUUGUACACACCGCCCGUCACACCAUGGAAGCUGGUAGUGCCCGAAGUCAUUACUCCAACCUUUCGGGGAGGAGGAUGCCUAAGGCAGGACUGGUGACUGGGGUGAAGUCGUAACAAGGUAGCCGUACCGGAAGGUGUGGCUGGAUCACCUCCUUU